GAUUUGGACCUGUCACUUGUUUAAACUGCCUGAUUUAGCUCUAGGAGCCGUUAUAAAAUUGUACUGUCGCAGUAUCCUCGAGACGAGUACUCCAGAUAGUUUAGCAUACAUUUACACUCGUGCUGGUACGCCGAGUGGAUUUUUACAGGAUCGUUUGGGCUGUUCCGAACUAUUGGGUGCCGUCAGGUUGACGGUGGACCCGAAUCGCCUUUUUGGCGACAGAUUGUGCCAAGGGCACAUGAACGGUUGGUUGUUAGACCAG
Molecule: long non-coding RNA, 262 nt
Filed under: Ananas comosus (pineapple)
Lineage: Eukaryota; Viridiplantae; Streptophyta; Magnoliopsida; Poales; Bromeliaceae
Description: long non-coding RNA (ACOM_LNC002231)
Source: RNAcentral